Molecule: long non-coding RNA, 940 nt
Filed under: Amborella trichopoda
Lineage: Eukaryota; Viridiplantae; Streptophyta; Magnoliopsida; Amborellales; Amborellaceae
Description: long non-coding RNA (ATRI_LNC003524)
Source: RNAcentral
CCAUCAAAAUAACUAAAGUAAAAAAAGUACUAUCAUUCUCAUGUUCUUUGAAAAGAUGUGAUUACAAAAAAGAUCAUCGUUCCAGUGAUAAAUGUUUGGCGGAGAAGUGAAACCUAUACCUUGUUUUUGGUGUCCAAUUUCUCGAUUUUUAUCAUCGUCCAUUAGUGACAUGGGUCAUUGCCGUCCGAUCACAAGGUUGGAGAAAGAUGGAGCCGGUGUCAAGGGGUGGGCCUUCUCCAGCACUCCACGGCCGUAUAACUAUGAAAUGGAUGGGGAUGGCCCUCGGGACUAUGGAUAUCCCAUUGUUUUGAAGGUUGCACUACAUUGAAAGCACAUAACCGCAACUAAGGAUGGAACUACCGAGCCCAGUAACUUGGGCCAGGACCGAAUCGAGUAACUUGGAUUGUGUCCUGCCAAGCUAAAAAGUUAAAAAAAUAAAAAAUACAAAAAAAUCCCAAAACGUAUAAAGGAUAUGUUUAAAGUAAAAUUAACCAAAACACGUCUAAAUGAGGUUAAAAAAGUAGUAAAAAAAUGGAUGAUGAAAAAUCAAUAUGUGAUAGGGGGAUAUUUUAGAAAUAAUCCAAAAAGAAAAAAAUUUACAAAUAUAUAUUCAUGACAAAAACACUUUCAAAUCUUUGCUACAUUGAUAAAAAAACAUAGAAAUAUAUAUUGAAAAUAAAUUUCUUAUUCUUUACAUUUUUUUUUUUAUAUAUUUUUUCAAGAUCUUCAAGUCAGACCACUCAACUGCUGUCCGAGUUGGCUGGCUCGAGUUUUUCCACACUCGAACAAAACAAUGCGCUACCUAUGUUGACAACCUAAAACUAAAAGUUUAUCUUUUGUGAGAUCACCUACAAAUUCAUAGAUGAACGGUUAUGAAAAGAGAACGCAAAUGCUUGUAUGAUGUUCCCGCGGGUCUCAUUCUCUCCCAUUAAAAGACAAU